This 1036-nucleotide long non-coding RNA is filed under the name Chrysolophus pictus (golden pheasant). RNAcentral describes it as "lncRNA (ENSCPIG00010004745.1)". Lineage: Eukaryota; Metazoa; Chordata; Aves; Galliformes; Phasianidae. The record is from RNAcentral.
AUGGUCUCAGAUGGUGAAUGCCCAGCAAAUGUGAGAAUACAGUCAUUUUUUGUUGCAGAUCAUAUUUUACGUCAUAUUUCCCUUAAAAGGGAAGAUCUCCUGAGAAGGUAUGACCUAUCUCCCUUCAGCUCCACCAGUCUUUGCAGAAAAGUCACCUCUCAUGGGUCCAGCUCAGAUAACCCCAAUGUCAGACUCUUCUGCUGCUUAUGCAGCCCUUGUAUAUGCCCCCAGCAGUGCGAGUGGGGUGGCCACUGCAGUGCUAAUUCAGCUCUUCACACAACAUUCUGUUCUGCUUUUGGAAUUUGAGACUCUGAAAUGUCUGGACUUUAAGUAGUAGAAACCUCUUCACUUGGUAAUAUUGCAGAGUUACCUGUUUGUAACUAUUCAAACCAAUGGUAAAGCAAGUUUAAAUGUAUCAGGAGAGCAGUCCGAGUACAUACUUCUGGGACCUCAGCUGUGGUGCUGCGUUCUCAGGCAGAGCAAGUUCUACACCGAUGCAGCCCAUAAUGCUGGCUAAUGUUAUUGACGAGCCAUCAGUCCUGCAGAGACACGUGGGGGCUUGCAGCUCUCUCUGAACCACAAAAACCUAUCCAUGGACAAUGAUGGAGAGGAAGAGGAAGAUGCAAGCAAAGCACUCAGGCUGGCUUCAUUCGGCCUGCAAUACAUUAAUGAAAGACAUACACUCUGUGGGAAGAGGCUUGCUCUCACUGCUCAGAGUGGCUUAGGAAAAAUGAACUAAACAUCUCGUCUAAAGGAGAUGAUUUUUUUGGAUUGACUAACUGAGUUUCUCAGAAAAUUACUCUUUUAGCCUAUGAUACUAUGCCAAAAAGCUGAUAUUGAUUUGCAAGACUACCUCCUGAUUCCCAGUCUUUUCUGAAGAAAUCAAGGAAAUAUAAAAACUAUUGGCUUGUCCUGUCUAGGAAGCUCAUGAAGAAUGCAGGAUAUUCAUUGUCCUAUAACAUACGUCGCUGCGUCAUUUCUAUCUAGUGAUACUAUAGCUAAAAAUAUUUUAAUAAAACACCACCCAAAUCAAACA